This 448-nucleotide ribosomal RNA is filed under the name uncultured bacterium. RNAcentral describes it as "bacterial SSU rRNA". It matches the Rfam family "Bacterial small subunit ribosomal RNA", at positions 355 to 825 of the family's 1533-position model. The record is from RNAcentral.
UCGGGAAUUUUGGGCAAUGGGCGAAAGCCUGACCCAGCAACGCCGCGUGAAGGAUGAAGUCUUUCGGGAUGUAAACUUCGUAAAAAUAGGAAGAAUAAAUGACGGUACUAUUUGUAAGGUCCGGCUAACUACGUGCCAGCAGCCGCGGUAAUACGUAGGGACCAAGCGUUGUUCGGAUUUACUGGGCGUAAAGGGCGCGUAGGCGGCGUGGUAAGUCACUUGUGAAAUCUCCGAGCUUAACUCGGAACGGUCAAGUGAUACUGCUGUGCUAGAGUACAGAAGGGGCAAUCGGAAUUCUUGGUGUAGCGGUGAAAUGCGUAGAUAUCAAGAGGAACACCUGAGGCGAAGGCGGGUUGCUGGGCUGAUACUGACGCUGAGGCGCGAAAGCUAGGGUAGCAAACGGGGAUUAGAUACCCUCGUAGUCCCUGAGCGGGCUGGCAAGGCGCAU